RNAcentral lists this ribosomal RNA (621 nucleotides) under Salmonella enterica. RNAcentral describes it as "partial 23S ribosomal RNA". It matches the Rfam family "Bacterial large subunit ribosomal RNA", at positions 589 to 1211 of the family's 2925-position model. Lineage: Bacteria; Pseudomonadati; Pseudomonadota; Gammaproteobacteria; Enterobacterales; Enterobacteriaceae. The record is from RNAcentral.
GGGUGUGACUGCGUACCUUUUGUAUAAUGGGUCAGCGACUUAUAUUCUGUAGCAAGGUUAACCGAAUAGGGGAGCCGGAGGGAAACCGAGUCUUAACCGGGCGUUAAGUUGCAGGGUAUAGACCCGAAACCCGGUGAUCUAGCCAUGGGCAGGUUGAAGGUUGGGUAACACUAACUGGAGGACCGAACCGACUAAUGUUGAAAAAUUAGCGGAUGACCUGUGGCUGGGGGUGAAAGGCCAAUCAAACCGGGAGAUAGCUGGUUCUCCCCGAAAGCUAUUUAGGUAGCGCCUCGUGAAUUCAUCUCCGGGGGUAGAGCACUGUUUCGGCUAGGGGGCCAUCCCGGCUUACCAACCCGAUGCAAACUGCGAAUACCGGAGAAUGUUAUCACGGGAGACACACGGCGGGUGCUAACGUCCGUCGUGAAGAGGGAAACAACCCAGACCGCCAGCUAAGGUCCCAAAGUCAUGGUUAAGUGGGAAACGAUGUGGGAAGGCCCAGACAGCCAGGAUGUUGGCUUAGAAGCAGCCAUCAUUUAAAGAAAGCGUAAUAGCUCACUGGUCGAGUCGGCCUGCGCGGAAGAUGUAACGGGGCUAAACCAUGCACCGAAGCUGCGGCAGCGA